RNAcentral lists this long non-coding RNA (4243 nucleotides) under Sus scrofa (pig). RNAcentral's name for it is "lncRNA (ENSSSCG00005000306.1)". Lineage: Eukaryota; Metazoa; Chordata; Mammalia; Artiodactyla; Suidae. The record is from RNAcentral.
CAAAGCAACUGGGUGGGGCCCUGAGAGGGGAAGAUCGUGGUCCACCUAGUGGCAGAGUCUGGACUUGCAGCAUUCUGAUGUUAAUUCUUGAGUCCUCCAGUAGGCAGCCGUCAUUUCCAGUACAUGAAGUGACCAACACUGAGUCAAGAGGCAUCGUGUGUUCUUGCAAAUGUUUUGAAAAAUUUUAUUAACUUCAGAAGUUGCAUUUGAGCAAAUUAUUUUGUUUUUUCUUUCUUUCUUUUUGUCUUUUUUGCCUUUUCUAGGGCCGCUCCCAUGGCACAUGGAGAUUCCCGGGUUAGGGGUCUAAUCGGAGCUGUUGCUACCGGCCUACACCACAGCCACAAUGCGGCUCCAAUCUGGUGUUGCUGUGGCUGUGGCGUAGGUUGGCGGCUACAGCUCGGAUUCUACCCCUAGCCUGGGAACCUCCAUGUGCCGAGGGUGCGGCCCUAGAAAAGACAAAAAAAAAAAAAACCAAAAAAACAAAAAACAAAAGGAAACUUAGGACAUUAUAGUUUGACUUUGAGCCUCAUAUUUAGAAAACAUUUUGUUUUCUCUUCAGUUAUCACAAUAAACUUGUUUUCCUUGUGUUCAAAAAUCUCUCCCACUUUUUGGAGUUCUCGUCUUGACUCAGUGGUUAAUAAACUGGACUGGUAUCCACAAGGACGUGGUUUUGAUCCCUGGCCUUGCUCAGUAGGUUAAGGGUCUGGUGUUGCCAUGAGCGGUGGUGUAGGUUGCAGGUGUGGCUUGGACAUGGCGUUGCUGUGGCUGUGGUGUAGGCUGGCAGCUACAGCUCUGAUUCGGCCCCUAGCUUGGGAACUUACAUAUGCUGAGGGUAUGACCCUAAAAAGACAAAAAAACCCACAACUUUCCCACUUUGGCGUAAAUGAUUUCUUUACCUGUUAUUUUAUUUUUCAUUUUUGGUUGCUCCUUAGCAUAUGGAGUUCCUGGGCAGGAGAUCAGAUCUGAGCCACAGUUGGCACCUACCCCACAGCUGUGGCCGUCUGGUUCCUUUAACCCACUGUGCUGGGGUGGGAAUCAAACCUAUGUCCUAGUGCUGCAGAGAUGCUAUCAGUGCCACAGUGGGAACUCCACCUUUUAAAUUUGUUGUGAUAAGCUUUUACUUUUUAAAUUUAUUUUUUAUUUUUAUUUUUUUUAGGGCUGCACCCAUGGCAUAUGGAGGUCCCCAGGCUAGGGGUCAAAUCAGAGCUACAGCUUCCAGCCUACACCAUAGCCACAGCAACGCAGGAUCCAGUCUGUGUCUGCAACCCACACCACAGCUCACGGAUCCUUAACCCACUGACCAAGGCCAGGGAUCAAACCCACAACCUCAUGGUUCCUAGUCAGAUUCGUUAACCACUGCGCCACGAUGGGAACUCCUGUGUCAUAUUUUAGAUUCCAUAUAUAAGUGAUAUCAAAUAUGGUGUUUGUCUUUCUGACUUCAUUCUUUUCAUGGCUAAAUAGUAUUCCUGUGUGUGUGUGUGUGUGUGUGUGUGUGUGUGUGUACGUACACACACCACAUCUUCUUGAUCCCUUAAUCUGUUGAUGGUCAUUUAGGUUGCUUUCAUGUCUUGGUUAUUGUAAAUAGUACUGCUGUGACCAUAGGUGUGCCUGUGUUUUUGUGAAUUAUAUUUAUGCCUGGGUGUAUGCCCAGUGGUAGGAUUGCUGGAUUCAAUGGCAACUAUGUUUUUAUUUUUAUUUUUUAGGAACCACUGUACUGUUUUUCCAUGGUGGCUGUACCAAUAUACAGUUCCCGCUGUAGUAUAGGAGGGUACCCUUUUUUCCACACCUUUUCCAACAUUCAUUUCUUUGUCUAGUUAUUAUCUAUCUUUUUAGGGCUGCAUCCGCAGCAUAUAGAGUUCCCAGGCUAGAGGUCGAAUUGAGCUGCAGCUGCUGCCCUACCCACAGCCUCAGCAAUGCUGGGUCCGAGCCCCGUCUGUGACUCACACCACUGCUCAUGACAACGUUGGAUUCUUAACCCACUGAGUGAGCCAGGGAUCAAGCCUGCGUCCUCAAGGAUGCUAGUCGGGUUCUUAAACCACUGAGCCACAGCAGGAACUCCUCUCCAGCAUUUAUUAUGGCCUUUUUUGAUGACUUUUUAAUGGCCAUACUGACUGGUGUGAGUUGGUAUCUCAUUGUAGUUUUGUUUUGCAUUUCUCUGGUAGUGAUAUGGUGCAUCAUUUCAUGUGCCCAUCGGCCAUCUGGAUGUCCUCCUUCUUUGGAGAAUUGUCUGUUUCUUCUGCCCUUUUUUGAUUUUUUUUUUUUUUGAUACUGAGCUAUAGGGGCUGUUUGUCUAUUUUGGAAAUUAAUAUCUUGUCGGUGCCAUCAUUUGCAGAUAUUUUCUCCCAGUCUGUAGGUUGUCUUUCUGUUUAUGGUUUCAUUUGCUGUGUAAAAGCUUAUAAAUUUGAUUUGGUCCCAUUUGUUUGUUUUUGCUUUUGUUUCUAUUUCCUUGGGAGAGUAAGCUAAGAAAACAUUGGUGUGAUUUAUAUGAGAAUGUUUUGUCUUUUAAGAGUUUUAUAUUGUCCUGUCUUACAUUUAAGGCUUUGAGCCAUUUUAUUUUGUGUAUGUGAUGAGGGAGUGUCCUAACAACUUCUGUUGAUUGACGUGUGAGUGUCCAGCUUUCCCAAGAUCACUUACUGAAGAGACUAGACAGUCUUGUCUUCAUUGGAUAUUCUUGCUUUCUUGGUCUAAGAUUAGUCGGCCGUAGGUGUGUGAGUUUAUUUCUGGGCUUUCUGUUCUGUUCCAUUGAUUCAUAUACCUGUUUUUGUGCCAAUACCUCGCUGUUUUGAUGACUGUAGCUUUGUAGUAUUGUCUGAAAUCUGGGAGGGUUAUGCCUCCUGCUUUGGUCUUUGUCUUCAGGAUUGCUUCGGCAGUUCUGGAUUUUUCGUGGUUACAUGCAGAUUUUAGGAUGACUUAUUCUAGUUCUGUGGAAACUGUCUUGGGUAAUUUGGUAGGGAUCUCAUUAAAUCUGUAGUUUGCUUUGGGUACUAGGACCAGUUUAACAGUAUUAAUUCCAAUUCAAGAUCACGAGAUGGUUUUCCAUUUCUUUGAAUCAUCUUCAGUUUCCUAUAUUAAUGUUUGGAAGUUCUCAGCAUGUAAGUCUUUCACCUCCUUGGUCAGAUUUAUUCCUAUGUUACUUUUUUUUAAUGUGAUUUUUUUUUUUUACAUUCCCUUUCUGAUAUUUUAUUGUUAGUGUAAAGAAAUGCAGUUAAUAUCUGUAUAUUAACCUUUUUUGUUUUCUUCCAUUUUUGGCCUCCCUGUGGCAUGUGGUGUUUCUGGGACAGGGAUUAGAUCUGAACUGCACCUGCCACCUGAGCUGCAGCUGUGGCAGUGCUGGAUCCUUAACCCACUCUGCCAGGCUGGGGGUUGAACCUGUGUCCCAGAGCUUCCAAGAUGCCACCCGUCCCCUUGUGCCACAGCAGGAACUCCUGUAUGUGUCAAUCUUGUAUCCUGUUACUUUGCUGAAUUUGUUUAUCAGUCCUAAUAUAUUUUUUUUCUUUUUUGGUCACACCUGUGGCAUUUGGAAGCUCCCAGGCUAGAGUCAAAUUGGAGCUAUGGCUGCCAGCCUAUGCCACAACAGCUCAGGAUCUGAGCUUUGUCUGCAGCCUGCAUCACAGCUCAUGGCAACGCAGGAUCCUUAACCCUCUGAGCGAGGCCAGGAAUUGAACCUGCCUCCUCGUGGAUGCUAGUUGGGUUCUUAACCUGAUGAGCCACAAUGGGAACUCUCCAUAGUUAUUCUUUUAUUUUUUUGGGGGGGGUUGGUUUUUUGGGGGCAAUGCCCACAGCAUGCAGAAGUUCUUAGACCAGGGAUUGAACCUGCGCCACAGCUGUGACGACAUCGGAUCCUUAACCAACUGACCAGGGAACUCCUCUCUGAUGGUUUUUUUGUAUUUCUGCUCUAUGAGUUAUUCUCGAUUUAUUUCUCUUUUUAUAUAUCGGUCCGCUUUUCUUCUUGGUGAGCCUGGCUAGAGGUUUGUUUACCCUUUCAAAGAACCAGCUCUUGGCGUUCCUGUCAUGGCUCAGUGGUUAACGAAUCUGACUAGGAACCAUGAGGGUUUCGGGUUCGAUCUCUGGCCUUGCAGUGAGCUGUGGUGUAGGUUGCAGACACGGCUUGGAUCUGGCGUUGCUGUGGCUCUGGAGUAGGCCGGUGGCUAUAGCUCUGGUUAGACCCCUAGCCUGGGAACCUCCAUGUGCCGUGGGUGCUGCCCUAGAAAAAAAAAAAAAAAAAAAAAAAAAAAAAAAAAAA